RNAcentral lists this ribosomal RNA (2476 nucleotides) under human metagenome. RNAcentral's name for it is "bacterial LSU rRNA". It matches the Rfam family "Bacterial large subunit ribosomal RNA", at positions 212 to 2701 of the family's 2925-position model. The record is from RNAcentral.
GCAGGAAGAGAAAGAAAAAUCGAUUCCCUGAGUAGCGGCGAGCGAAACGGGAAUAGCCCAAACCAGUGUGCAUGCACACUGGGGUUGUAGGACUUUCAACAACGUGUAUGACAAUCUGUAGCAGAACCCUGUUGGAAAGCAGGACCAAAGAAGGUGACAGUCCUGUAUGCAAAACGGAAAGUUAGCACAAGAGAGCACCUGAGUACGGCGGGACACGAGGAAUCCCGUCGGAAUCCGCCAGGACCAUCUGGCAAGGCUAAAUACUACCUAGUGACCGAUAGUGAACCAGUACCGUGAGGGAAAGGUGAAAAGAACCCCGGGAGGGGAGUGAAAGAGUACCUGAAACCGUGUGCUUACAAGUAGUCAGAGCCCGUUAAUGGGUGAUGGCGUGCCUUUUGUAGAAUGAACCGGCGAGUUACGUUAACAUGCGAGGUUAAGAUGAAGAGUCGGAGCCGUAGCGAAAGCGAGUCUGAAUAGGGCGAAUUGAGUAUGUUGACGUAGACCCGAAACCAAGUGAUCUACCCAUGUCCAGGUUGAAGGUGCGGUAAAACGCACUGGAGGACCGAACCAGGGCACGUUGAAAAGUGCUUGGAUGAGGUGUGGGUAGCGGAGAAAUUCCAAUCGAACUUGGAGAUAGCUGGUUCUCUCCGAAAUAGCUUUAGGGCUAGCCUCGGAAUGAAGAAUCGUGGAGGUAGAGCACUGUUUGGACUAGGGGCCCAUCUCGGGUUACCGAAUUCAGAUAAACUCCGAAUGCCAUGUAUUUAUGUCCGGGAGUCAGACUGCGAGUGAUAAGAUCCGUAGUCGAAAGGGAAACAGCCCAGACCACCAGCUAAGGUCCCAAAAUAAUUGUUAAGUGGAAAAGGAUGUGGGGUUGCACAGACAACUAGGAUGUUAGCUUAGAAGCAGCUAUUCAUUCAAAGAGUGCGUAAUAGCUCACUAGUCGAGUGACCCUGCGCCGAAAAUGUACCGGGGCUAAAACAAUUUACCGAAGCUGUGGAUACCUUUAUAGGUAUGGUAGGAGAGCGUUCUAUGUGUGAAGAAGGUGUACCGUGAGGAGUGCUGGAACGCAUAGAAGUGAGAAUGCCGGUAUGAGUAGCGAAAGACAGGUGAGAAUCCUGUCCACCGUAAGACUAAGGUUUCCAGGGGAAGGCUCGUCCGCCCUGGGUUAGUCGGGACCUAAGGAGAGACCGAAAGGUGUAUCCGAUGGACAACAGGUUGAUAUUCCUGUACUAGAGUAUGUAGUGAUGGAGGGACGCAGUAGGCUAACUAAAGCAGACGAUUGGAAGUGUCUGUCUAAGCAGUGAGGUGUGAAUUGAGUCAAAUGCUUAAUUCUAUAACAUUGAGCUGUGAUGGGGAGCGAAGUUUAGUAGCGAAGUUAGUGACGUCACACUGCCAAGAAAAGCUUCUAGCGUUAAUCAUACUCUACCCGUACCGCAAACCGACACAGGUAGUCGAGGCGAGUAGCCUCAGGUGAGCGAGAGAACUCUCGUUAAGGAACUCGGCAAAAUGACCCCGUAACUUCGGGAGAAGGGGUGCUGGUAGCAAUACCAGCCGCAGUGAAUAGGCCCAGGCGACUGUUUAUCAAAAACACAGGUCUCUGCAAAAUCGAAAGAUGACGUAUAGGGGCUGACGCCUGCCCGGUGCUGGAAGGUUAAGAGGAGAGGUUAGCGCAAGCGAAGCUUUGAAUUGAAGCCCCAGUAAACGGCGGCCGUAACUAUAACGGUCCUAAGGUAGCGAAAUUCCUUGUCGGGUAAGUUCCGACCCGCACGAAAGGCGUAAUGAUUUGGGCACUGUCUCAACGAGAGACUCGGUGAAAUUUUAGUACCUGUGAAGAUGCAGGUUACCCGCGACAGGACGGAAAGACCCCAUGGAGCUUUACUGUAGUUUGAUAUUGAGUGUUUGUGUGACAUGUACAGGAUAGGUAGGAGCCGAAGAGAUGGGAACGCCAGUUUCCAAGGAGGCAAUGGUGGGAUACUACCCUUGUUACAUGAACCCUCUAACCCGCACCUAGAAGCAAGGUGGGAGACAGUGUCAGACGGGCAGUUUGACUGGGGCGGUCGCCUCCUAAAAUGUAACGGAGGCGCCCAAAGGUUCCCUCAGAAUGGUUGGAAAUCAUUCGAAGAGUGUAAAGGCAGAAGGGAGCUUGACUGCGAGACCAACAAGUCGAGCAGGGACGAAAGUCGGGCUUAGUGAUCCGGUGGUACCGUAUGGAAGGGCCAUCGCUCAACGGAUAAAAGCUACCCUGGGGAUAACAGGCUUAUCUCCCCCAAGAGUUCACAUCGACGGGGAGGUUUGGCACCUCGAUGUCGGCUCAUCGCAUCCUGGGGCUGAAGUCGGUCCCAAGGGUUGGGCUGUUCGCCCAUUAAAGCGGUACGCGAGCUGGGUUCAGAACGUCGUGAGACAGUUCGGUCCCUAUCCGUCGCGGGCGUAGGAAAUUUGAGAGGAGCUGUCCUUAGUACGAGAGGACCGGGAUGGA